This 774-nucleotide ribosomal RNA is filed under the name Dactylellina sp. RNAcentral describes it as "LSU rRNA". The record is from RNAcentral. Lineage: Eukaryota; Fungi; Ascomycota; Orbiliomycetes; Orbiliales; Orbiliaceae.
UCAUUAUCAAAAUCACCAUUCACAAGAAUUAAGGUUCUUGGAUUUUAGCAACUUUAAAUACAUAUUACAUUUUCUAACCCUCACUAAAUUCAUACGUCCCUAAAGGGGAAGACUAAACCGCAGAAGGCUAAAAAUGUUAAUUUUAUUUAUUACACCUAUCAUCGAUAUAGUUAAAAUCUUACUUGCUUAAAAAUUAAAUUCUACUUUAAAUAAAAAGAUAGUGAUUAAAUACAUAUGGGGAUAAGUAAUAUCUUAUCCACUUAUAUAAAAAUUCGUCUUAAGUAGGCGCGAUUUAUACCGCGUAGUCUUAAAUUUAUAUAAAAUUUAUAUAUUAAAUAAAUAUUCAGAGUAAAAAAAGUUAUAAUUUUACCCAAAUUUUCUGAAUUAGGAUAUACCCAGCUACUCUUUAUGGGAUCUGUGCCCCGCAUAAACUGCCACCUAGCCGUUGUUCUCAUUAUUUAUUACCUUUGUGAAAAUCAACUUUUAUGUACUUGUGAAAAAUAACACACUACCCUGUAGUUUUUAGAAUUUGCUUUUGUAAGUGAUUAAUUCACUUACAAAAUUCUCAGGCAAUAAUAGUUAUCAUUUACUUUAUACUAUUAUUGAAUAAUUAACACCGGUUGAUAAAUAGAUUAAGUCAUUUUAUUUAAUUAAAAAUAAAGUGGAGGACAAUGUAGUCCCCAGCAAUGUGAUAGACUCAAAAAGGUGUUUCAAUUACGUCUACGACUACCUUAUCCCUACGGUUGGUCCGAUCACACGCAAUGACUAGAAAUU